This 314-nucleotide ribosomal RNA is filed under the name uncultured archaeon. RNAcentral's name for it is "bacterial SSU rRNA". It matches the Rfam family "Archaeal small subunit ribosomal RNA", at positions 1032 to 1343 of the family's 1478-position model. The record is from RNAcentral.
AGUCAGGUAACGAGCGAGAUCCCUGGCCACUAGUUGCUAUCAUUAUUCUCAGGAAUAGUGGGGCGAAUUAGUGGGACUGCCGUUGUAAAAACGGAGGAAGGAAGGGGCUACGGCAGGUCAGUAUGCCCAAAAACUCUGGGGCCACACGCGGGCUGCAAUGGUAGCGACAAUGAGUUCCAAACUCGAAAGAGAGUGGCAAUCCCUAAACGUACCACAGUUAUGACUGAGGGCUGCAACUCUCCCCUCACGAAUAUGGAAUCCCUAGUAACCGCGUGUCAUUACCGCGCGGUGAAUACGUCCCUGCUCCUUGCACA